This 372-nucleotide long non-coding RNA is filed under the name Salmo salar (Atlantic salmon). Its description in RNAcentral is "lncRNA (ENSSSAG00000113644.1, ENSSSAG00075061846.1)". Lineage: Eukaryota; Metazoa; Chordata; Actinopteri; Salmoniformes; Salmonidae. The record is from RNAcentral.
GCGGCAUAUUCAAUUCACGGCUUGGAAUCACUCAUUGGAAGGUUUCAUGUAUCUAGAUACCCUCGGAGCCACAAAGCAUUGUGAGCUCCUGUCCUAUUGAGGGUCUGUAUGCCAAGUUGGUCGCCUGCCUUAUCUGUUGUCUUGGGCAUCAUAAGAAUAUGUUGGCAUCCACUGCAUCUCUCCGACAGUCCAAUCUGAUGAUGAUGUAACCACUCUGAGACUUUGCAUGGAGCUCCUGGGUUACUAUCUGUGUUUCCCCAACAUUUCCUGAAGUUUGCUGACAGAAAGGAGACUGCGGCUCUAAACAGGCUUUUCUGUGUACUAAACAGCUCUCAGCCCAUGGGAUUCCUCAAAGAGGGGUCUGAACUGUCA